This 253-nucleotide ribosomal RNA is filed under the name uncultured bacterium. RNAcentral's name for it is "partial 16S ribosomal RNA". It matches the Rfam family "Bacterial small subunit ribosomal RNA", at positions 524 to 776 of the family's 1533-position model. The record is from RNAcentral.
UACGGGGGGUGCGAGCGUUGUCCGGAAUCACUGGGCGUAAAGGGCGCGUAGGUGGCGUUCCAAGUCAACGGUGAAAGCUCGGGGCUCAACCCCGAGUCGGCCGUCGAUACUGGGAGGCUCGAGCACUGUAGAGGCAGAUGGAAUUCCGGGUGUAGCGGUGGAAUGCGUAGAGAUCCGGAAGAACACCGGUGGCGAAGGCGGUCUGCUGGGCAGUAGCUGACACUGAGGCGCGACAGCGUGGGGAGCAAACAGG